RNAcentral lists this ribosomal RNA (462 nucleotides) under uncultured bacterium. RNAcentral describes it as "partial 16S ribosomal RNA". It matches the Rfam family "Bacterial small subunit ribosomal RNA", at positions 338 to 795 of the family's 1533-position model. The record is from RNAcentral.
CCUACGGGUGGCAGCAGUGAGGAAUAUUGGUCAAUGGGCGCGAGCCUGAACCAGCCAAGUCGCGUGAGGGAGGACGGCCCUACGGGUUGUAAACCUCUUUUGCCGGGGAGCAACGGGCGUCACGUGUGGCGCCACUGAGAGUACCCGGAGAAAAAGCAUCGGCUAACUCCGUGCCAGCAGCCGCGGUAAUACGGAGGAUGCGAGCGUUAUCCGGAUUUAUUGGGUUUAAAGGGUGCGUAGGCUGUGAGGUAAGUCAGCGGUGAAAUGCCCCCGCUCAACGGGGUGAAGUGCCAUUGAUACUGCCUUGCUGGAAUGCGGAUGCCGUGGGAGGAAUGUGUGGUGUAGCGGUGAAAUGCAUAGAUAUCACACAGAACACCGAUUGCGAAGGCAUCUCACGAAUCCGCGAUUGACGCUGAUGCACGAAAGCGUGGGUAUCAAACAGGAUUAGAUACCCCUGUAGUC